Molecule: ribosomal RNA, 492 nt
Filed under: uncultured bacterium
Lineage: Bacteria
Description: partial 16S ribosomal RNA
Rfam family: Bacterial small subunit ribosomal RNA
Source: RNAcentral
AGUGAACGCUGGCGGUAGGCCUAACACAUGCAAGUCGAACGGCAGCACAGUAAGAGCUUGCUCUUACGGGUGGCGAGUGGCGGACGGGUGAGGAAUACAUCGUAAUCUACUUUUUCGUGGGGGAUAACGUAGGGAAACUUACGCUAAUACCGCAUACGACCUACGGGUGAAAGUAGGGGAUCUUCGGACCUUGCGCGAUUGAAUGAGCCGAUGUCGGAUUAGCUAGUUGGCGGGGUAAAGGCCCACCAAGGCGACGAUCCGUAGCUGGUCUGAGAGGAUGAUCGGCCGCACUGGAACUGAAACACGGUCAAGACUCCUACGGGAGGCAGCAGAGGGGAAUAUUGGACAAUGGGCGCAAGCAUGAUCCAGCCAUACCGAGUGGGUGAAGAAGGCCUUCGGGUUGUAAAGCCCUUUUGUUGGGAAAGAAAAGCAGCAGGUUAAUACCCCGCUGUUCUGACGGUACCCAAAGAAUAAGCACCGGCUAACUUCGUG